GAGUAGCUGGGAUUACAGGUGCCUGCCACCAUGCCUGGCUAAUGUUUUUUUGUAUCUUUAGUAGAGAUGGGGUUUCACCAUGUUGGACAGGCUGGUCUCAAGCUCCUGACCUCAGAUGAUCCACCUGCCUCAGCCUCCCAAAGUGCUGGGAUUACAGGCGUGAGCCACUGCACCCGGCCAGCCCAGUCUUUGAGAAGAGCCCCAGGAUUCUCAAUAUUUCUGCCCAUGUUUGCCUUCCUUUCUGCUUCUGGCAGGGAGUGGAUUGUCAGCUGACCUCUGUCCUGUGUGCCCAGUGGCCCCAGGUGACGUGUCUUCAAGAAGAGGCUGAGCUGCGGUGCUUGUAAGGCAGGGUCUCAUUCUGUCACCCAGGCUGGAGUGCAGUGGUGCAAUGAUGGCUCACUGCAGCCUCGACCUGGGCUCAAGUGAUCCUCCACCUCAGCUUCCUGAGUAGCUGGGACCACAGAGUCAUGUGCUGUUCCUGGGGCUUGGAUGAUGUAGGGGAAGCAAGGUGAAAGUGGUAUCCCGUGGUUCCACGUUCUGUCCUGCUGUGGGGCUGUCCCUCACAUGCUUUCAGUGGCUGUUGCAGAGGAAGAGCCUCCGGAAAUCUGCGUGGGUAAAGUCUCAGCCUUAGAUCCAAGGACAGUCCAAGGAAGUCCUAAGACCAUGGAGUUGGUGAUCUGGGAUCUGGGUUUGCUGAUAUUUCUCACCGUGAAUCUCUUGGUGGUGUUUGUGGGCACGAGAGGGGCAGAGAAUGGAGAGUGAGGCUACCACAUGAAGCGUCACCAGAGCUGCUCCCUGCUGCCUGCUCAGAGCACCCCGGAUCCACUGUUCAAUCUGCACAAGAUUCGGGGUCCAGACAUGGGAGACUUCAGCUGCCUCAGAGGACCGUGGACAGGGAAGGCCAGCCUCGCAUCCCUCUGUCCAUGCCUGGAAUGACUUUAAUAACCAAGAGUUUUAUUUUUGAAUUUGUAGCUGUCGUUCACUUUUUACCCACCCAUUCAAUAAACCUUACAGAAUUGCUC
RNAcentral lists this long non-coding RNA (1022 nucleotides) under Homo sapiens (human). Its description in RNAcentral is "small nucleolar RNA host gene 17". The record is from RNAcentral. Lineage: Eukaryota; Metazoa; Chordata; Mammalia; Primates; Hominidae.